ACUGGUCUCAGCGGCGUGUGCCUGUAGUCCCAGCUACUCGGGAGGCUGAGGCAGGAGGAUCACUUGAGUCCAGGAAUUCUGGGCUGUAGUGCGCUAUGCCAAUCGGGUGUCUGCACUAAGUUUGGCAUCAAUAUGGUGACCUCCCAGGAAUGGGGGACCACCAGGUUGCCUGAGGAAUGGUGAACCGGCCCAGGUUGGAAAAAUUGGAAACAAAUGCCAAUUAAUUGGGAAAUUAUUAAAUAAGCAAUGACAUAUCCAUGCAGUGAAGUACUACACAGCCGUU
Molecule: small RNA, 283 nt
Filed under: Microcebus murinus (gray mouse lemur)
Lineage: Eukaryota; Metazoa; Chordata; Mammalia; Primates; Cheirogaleidae
Description: Metazoan signal recognition particle RNA (ENSMICG00000037508.2)
Rfam family: Metazoan signal recognition particle RNA
About the family: The signal recognition particle (SRP) is a universally conserved ribonucleoprotein. It is involved in the co-translational targeting of proteins to membranes.
Source: RNAcentral